GCGUGCUGGUUCCAAAUCUGGCGAUGGUGAUGGGGACGGAGGACAGGCCGGGGCCGGGGCCGGGGACGGGACCCCAUCGCCUCCCUCCCUCCACGUCCUAAUAAAUCGCUCCCAUCUCCGAUUCGCCCAACCCCCUUUUCUCUUCAAUCUUUCCGCCGCCCCGUCGAUUCCAUUCCAUUUCAAUCCUCCAUCCAUCCGUCCCCGUUUGCGCCAUGCUGCCGGCGCCGGCGCCG
Molecule: long non-coding RNA, 233 nt
Filed under: Hordeum vulgare
Lineage: Eukaryota; Viridiplantae; Streptophyta; Magnoliopsida; Poales; Poaceae
Description: long non-coding RNA (HVUL_LNC005378)
Source: RNAcentral